RNAcentral lists this ribosomal RNA (253 nucleotides) under uncultured bacterium. Its description in RNAcentral is "partial 16S ribosomal RNA". It matches the Rfam family "Bacterial small subunit ribosomal RNA", at positions 524 to 776 of the family's 1533-position model. The record is from RNAcentral.
UACGUAGGGUGCAAGCGUUAAUCGGAAUUACUGGGCGUAAAGCGUGCGCAGGCGGUGAUGUAAGACAGUUGUGAAAUCCCCGGGCUCAACCUGGGAACUGCAUCUGUGACUGCAUUGCUGGAGUGCGGCAGAGGGGGAUGGAAUUCCGCGUGUAGCAGUGAAAUGCGUAGAGAUGUGGAGGAACACCGAUGGCGAAGGCAGCCUCCUGGGCCAGCACUGACGCUCAUGCACGAAAGCGUGGGGAGCAAACAGG